ACCCGGGAAUUACGAGCCCAAGCUUAAAACCCAAAGGACUAGACGGUGUCCCAUCCCCCUAGAGGAGCCUGUUCUAUAAUCGAUUCCCCCCGAUCCACCCCACCGCUUCUUGACCACCCAGUCUGUAUACCUCCGUCGCAAGCUUACCGUGUGAACGCACCUAGUAAGCUAAAAGAUUCAUCACCCACACGUCAGGUCAAGGUGCAGCCUACGAAGCGGAAAGAAAUGGGCUACAAUCUCUACUUUAGAACAAACGAAAAACUGUAUGAAACACAGUUACUGAAGGCGGAUUUAGUAGUAAAAAGAAAGCAGAGCGUUCUUUUUAACCAGGCACUGGGACGCGUACACACCGCCCGUCACCCUCUUCAGACAAUAAAAAAAAGUUACUAACACUACUUAAUCACACAGAAGAGGCAAGUCGUAACACGGUAAGUGUACUGGAAAGUGCACUUGGAACAAAAUGUAGCUUAACCAAAGCCUUUC
This 483-nucleotide ribosomal RNA is filed under the name Choerophryne sp. 2 FK-2007. RNAcentral describes it as "partial 12S ribosomal RNA". It matches the Rfam family "Bacterial small subunit ribosomal RNA", at positions 871 to 1533 of the family's 1533-position model. The record is from RNAcentral. Lineage: Eukaryota; Metazoa; Chordata; Amphibia; Anura; Microhylidae.